GCCUGGGUGGCUCAGUAGGUUAAGCAUCUGACUUCAGCUCAGGUCAUGACCUUGCAGUUCGUGAGUUUGAGCCCCACUCUGGGCU
Molecule: transfer RNA, 85 nt
Organism: Felis catus (domestic cat)
Lineage: Eukaryota; Metazoa; Chordata; Mammalia; Carnivora; Felidae
Rfam family: tRNA
About the family: Transfer RNA (tRNA) molecules are approximately 80 nucleotides in length. Their secondary structure includes four short double-helical elements and three loops (D, anti-codon, and T loops). Further hydrogen bonds mediate the characteristic L-shaped molecular structure. tRNAs have two regions of fundamental functional importance: the anti-codon, which is responsible for specific mRNA codon recognition, and the 3' end, to which the tRNAs corresponding amino acid is attached (by aminoacyl-tRNA synthetases). tRNAs cope with the degeneracy of the genetic code in two manners: having more than one tRNA (with a specific anti-codon) for a particular amino acid; and 'wobble' base-pairing, i.e. permitting non-standard base-pairing at the 3rd anti-codon position.
Source: Rfam